GAUGAACGCUGGCGGCGUGCCUAAUACAUGCAAGUCGAGCGAAUGGAUUAAGAGCUUGCUCUUAUGAAGUUAGCGGCGGACGGGUGAGUAACACGUGGGUAACCUGCCCAUAAGACUGGGAUAACUCCGGGAAACCGGGGCUAAUACCGGAUAACAUUUUGAACCGCAUGGUUCGAAAUUGAAAGGCGGCUUCGGCUGUCACUUAUGGAUGGACCCGCGUCGCAUUAGCUAGUUGGUGAGGUAACGGCUCACCAAGGCAACGAUGCGUAGCCGACCGGAGAGGGUGAUCGGCCACACUGGGACUGAGACACGGCCCAGGCUCCUACGGGAGGCAGUAGUAGGGAAUCUUCCGCAAUGGACGAAAGUCUGACGGAGCAACGCCGCGUGAGUGAUGAAGGCUUUCGGGUCGUAAAACUCUGUUGUUAGGGAAGAACAAGUGCUAGUUGAAUAAGCUGGCACCUUGACGGUACCUAACCAGAAAGCCACGGCUAACUACGUGCCAGCCGCCGCCGUAA
Molecule: ribosomal RNA, 515 nt
Filed under: uncultured bacterium
Lineage: Bacteria
Description: partial 16S ribosomal RNA
Rfam family: Bacterial small subunit ribosomal RNA
Source: RNAcentral